RNAcentral lists this ribosomal RNA (642 nucleotides) under uncultured actinomycete. RNAcentral's name for it is "bacterial SSU rRNA". It matches the Rfam family "Bacterial small subunit ribosomal RNA", at positions 232 to 885 of the family's 1533-position model. The record is from RNAcentral. Lineage: Bacteria; Bacillati; Actinomycetota; Actinomycetes; Actinomycetales.
CGCGGCCUAUCAGCUUGUUGGUGGGGUAACGGCCCACCAAGGCGACGACGGGUAGCUGGCGUGAGAGCGUGGUCAGCCACACUGGGACUGAGACACGGCCCAGACUCCUACGGGAGGCAGCAGUGGGGGAUCUUGCGCAAUGGGCGAAAGCCUGACGCAGCGACGCCGCGUGGGGGACGAAGGCCUUCGGGUUGUAAACCCCUUUCAGCGGGGACGAAGCGAAAGUGACGGUACCCGCAGAAGAAGCCCCGGCCAACUACGUGCCAGCAGCCGCGGUAAGACGUAGGGGGCGAGCGUUGUCCGGAAUUAUUGGGCGUAAAGCGCGCGCAGGCGGCCCGGUAAGUCGGUUGUGAAAACCCGGGGCUCAACCCCGGGCCUGCUGCCGAUACUGCCGGGCUCGAGGCAGGUAGGGGAGAGUGGAAUUCCCGGUGUAGCGGUGAAAUGCGCAGAUAUCGGGAGGAACACCGGUGGCGAAGGCGGCUCUCUGGGCCUGUCCUGACGCUCAGGCGCGAAAGCUGGGGGCGCAAACAGGAUUAGAUACCCUGGUAGUCCCAGCCGUAAACGAUGGGUGCUAGGUGUGGGGAGCAUCAACCCUCUCCGUGCCGGAGCUAACGCAUUAAGCACCCCGCCUGGGGAGUACGG